RNAcentral lists this ribosomal RNA (460 nucleotides) under uncultured bacterium. RNAcentral's name for it is "partial 16S ribosomal RNA". It matches the Rfam family "Bacterial small subunit ribosomal RNA", at positions 338 to 795 of the family's 1533-position model. The record is from RNAcentral.
CCUACGGGUGGCAGCAGUGAGGAAUAUUGGUCAAUGGACGAGAGUCUGAACCAGCCAAGUAGCGUGAAGGAUGACUGCCCUAUGGGUUGUAAACUUCUUUUAUAUGGGAAUAAAAUGAUCCACGUGUGGGAUUUUGUAGGUACCAUAUGAAUAAGGAUCGGCUAACUCAGUGCCAGCAGCCGCGGUAAUACGGAGGAUCCGAGCGUUAUCCGGAUUUAUUGGGUUUAAAGGGAGCGUAGGUGGAUUGUUAAGUCAGUUGUGAAAGUUUGCGGCUCAACCGUAAAAUUGCAGUUGAAACUGGCAGUCUUGAGUACAGUAGAGGUGGGCGGAAUUCGUGGUGUAGCGGUGAAAUGCUUAGAUAUCACGAAGAACUCCGAUUGCGAAGGCAGUUCACUGGACUGCAACUGACACUGAGGCUCGAAAGUGUGGGUAUCAAACAGGAUUAGAUACCCUUGUAGUC